CUACAUAGGGGGCGAGCGUUAUCCGGAUUUAUUGGGCGUAAAGGGUGCGUAGGCGGUAAAUUAAGUCUAAGGUUAAAGUGCAGGGCUCAACCCUGUGAUGCCUUAGAAACUGGUUUACUUGAGUUUGGUAGAGGUAAGUGGAACUCCAUGUGUAGUGGUAAAAUGCGUAAAUAUAUGGAAGAACACCAGUGGCGAAGGCGGCUUACUGGGCCACAACUGACGCUGAGGCACGAAAGCGUGGGGAGCAAACAGGAUUAGAUACCCUGGUAGUCCACGCUGUAAACGAUGAAUACUAAGUGUUGGAAAAAUCCAGUGCUGAAGUUAACGCAUUAAGUAUUCCGCCUGAGUAGUACGUACGCAAGUAUGAAACUCAAAGGAAUUGACGGGG
This 388-nucleotide ribosomal RNA is filed under the name uncultured bacterium. Its description in RNAcentral is "partial 16S ribosomal RNA". It matches the Rfam family "Bacterial small subunit ribosomal RNA", at positions 523 to 918 of the family's 1533-position model. The record is from RNAcentral.